GACAGUGUAACUUAGUGAUUAAGGAGCUGGGCUCGUAACCGAAAGGUUGCCGGUUCGAUUCCCUGCUGGGG
This is a non-coding RNA of Megalops atlanticus (tarpon), 71 nucleotides long. The record is from the annotation of a GenBank genome assembly. Lineage: Eukaryota; Metazoa; Chordata; Actinopteri; Elopiformes; Megalopidae.